This is a long non-coding RNA of Colias croceus (clouded yellow), 820 nucleotides long. RefSeq lists it as uncharacterized. The transcript has 2 exons. NCBI's taxonomy places the organism in Eukaryota, Metazoa, Arthropoda, Insecta, Lepidoptera, Pieridae. The record is from RefSeq and is a predicted model, not a curated record.
UAAAGUAAUUUAGAUAAAUGCAUAUUGGCAUUAACUGAGUAAUUAUUAUUGUGUGUGAUUUCCUUUAUUAUGUGAUAGGACUGUAAAAUAUCAUUAAAUUAAAUCGAAAAUCAGUCAUGGAUAGAGCCCUCUGUUUUUCUAUUUUUCUGCUUUCUGGUGUGUAUGUGACAUACCAACUUCAAACUAACGUGUGCACCAGCAGCGGACGGUUUGCGUCCCCUGGCGACGAAACGUGUACAAAAUACAUCCUAUGCAUUCGUGUACCAUUUACACAAACAUUUAAAUAUUAUAACUACACGUGUCCUGCUCCCUCUUUAUUUAAUCCGAAUAAUAGCGUAUGUACUACAAAUUAUACAUGUAAAGAAACUAAAAGUCUCUAUGCAACGCAGAAGGUCGUAUCCCCGAUCCAACAUCGACCAAUUGUACAAAAUACAUACAAUGUAUAAAUAUUAACAGUACAUAUCAAGAAUUCCCCCAAAGCUGUCCAGAUGGUACUUAUUUUAAUCCCAACAUAACCGAAUGUGACGCGCUUUACUCGUGUCCUUAUUUUUCCUGCCCUUCUUCAGGCAGAUUUGCAAACACUACAGAUCAAACGUGUCAAUCCUGUAUUUUAUGUGUUAAACUCAAUAAUGGCACGUUAGCUCACUAUAUAUACAUGUCCAUCAGUUUGUGUGUUUAAUCCCGCAACAGAAUUGUGUACGACUCAGUAUAUAUGUCCAACGAGAAAUUCUACAGUUUAAUUUAAAAAAUACACUUGGAAUGAGAUGAUUUAGUAUUUACCUACUUUGUUUUAAUAUUAAAAUAUUAUUAAGUUGAUUAA